Molecule: long non-coding RNA, 459 nt
Organism: Felis catus (domestic cat)
Lineage: Eukaryota; Metazoa; Chordata; Mammalia; Carnivora; Felidae
Exons: 2
Source: RefSeq, a predicted model, not a curated record
AGUAACUAAAUCCCCAGGAUCCACGGGGCACAUUUUUUUAGGCAUGGCUGGCCUCCCCACUCCACCCUCAGAUGAGUCAUUCAACAGGAGAUAAGCCCAGGGGGAUGAGUUGACAUUCUGUGGGCAAAAAGGCACAUACCAGGAUUCGGGGAGAUCCAGACCACGUCUUGACCCACAAAGAAACACUGAUGUCAGACAGGGUGAUACCAAGGGCAACAGCUAAGAGAACCAUUGGAUGAAGGUCAAGGUGAUAUGGGGCGAGCAGGCCUGCUGGCAUCCUUCACAAGGAGGAGCACAAUGUAUGGGCGACAUUGAGGAGGGAGGCCUGACAUAAGGAGUCGAUGGGUUUGCUUGUUGCAGAAAGUUUGCCAAGUUGAAGAAAUAUCCUGAAAGAUGAACAAAAUUGGCCAACCUUUAGCCAGACACACCAAGAAAAAAAAGAGAGAGAAUGCAAAUAAA